GGCUGGCCCAAAGGUAAUGAAUUAUCUCAAUUGACUGUUCACAGAUUAAACUCCUUGUUCUACCCUUUCCCCGCUUCUCACCACUGAACUUGACUAGUCUUAA
Molecule: unclassified non-coding RNA, 103 nt
Organism: Gorilla gorilla gorilla (western lowland gorilla)
Lineage: Eukaryota; Metazoa; Chordata; Mammalia; Primates; Hominidae
Rfam family: Y RNA
About the family: Y RNAs are components of the Ro ribonucleoprotein particle (Ro RNP), in association with Ro60 and La proteins. The Y RNAs and Ro60 and La proteins are well conserved, but the function of the Ro RNP is not known.
Source: Ensembl